This is a long non-coding RNA of Ctenocephalides felis (cat flea), 165 nucleotides long. RefSeq lists it as uncharacterized. The record is from RefSeq and is a predicted model, not a curated record. The transcript is spliced from 3 exons. Lineage: Eukaryota; Metazoa; Arthropoda; Insecta; Siphonaptera; Pulicidae.
CGACGAAGUAAAAGUAAAAUAAGUAAUAAUAUUUGCCGGCUUUCAAUCUAAUUUAAUAAUUCAGAAAUAAUUGAGACAUUUAACUAUAUCAAUACUAGAAAUUUUAAGGUUAUAAAUAGACAGAGAGAAUUCCUGUCAGCUCUCUGAAAGCAGUAUAAAAGGAAA